AUGCCACCUUCCGUGCACGACACGGAAGGCCUGCCGUUCAUGAAGCAUGGUUGUGUCUUCCGUGCGCACCGCCGGAUGAACGACAUGCUGGGACACGCUAUCCCUGAUUUAUGCCGCUUCAGCUUGGAUGAGUCUCCAUCGAGUGGAACCGGACUAGAAAGCUGCGACAAUGAUUCCCGUUGCCCACCGUUAUGGAUCGUGCCAUCCAUGAAGAACACCUGGGACUGGAACCUGGAGGAGGACAUAAUAAACCCAUGCAAGUCGAAGAAGGAUUGGCCGGUGCUGCCGGUUGGCGUCAAGUUCGAUCCCACGGAUCAGGAGCUGAUCGAGCACUGUGAGGCCAAAGUGAGUGCUGACAGCGCAAGAUCUCACCCUCUCAUCGAUUUGUUCAUACCAACCAUCGACAGCGAGCACGGCAUAUGCUACACCCAUCCUGAGAAAUUUCCAGGUAUCACACUGAGUGGCCUAAGCAAGCAGUUCUUCCAGCGCAAUUCCAGGGCGUUCAAAAGGGGCACGUGGACGCGUCACAAGAUACAGUCGGAGUGCGGCAUGCACGCGAUGUGGCACAACACCGGCAAUACCUUGCCGGUGAUGAGGACCAACUGGGUGAUGCAACAGUACCACCUCGGGGACCUGGAGCAAGAGAAGGAGCAGGAGCUAGUCCUCUGCAAGAUUUUCUACCAGACGAGCACUAGGGCCAGGAGUAAAAAGAUUAUAAAUUAG
RNAcentral lists this ribosomal RNA (723 nucleotides) under Triticum aestivum (bread wheat). Its description in RNAcentral is "partial small subunit ribosomal RNA". Lineage: Eukaryota; Viridiplantae; Streptophyta; Magnoliopsida; Poales; Poaceae. The record is from RNAcentral.